UACGGAGGGGGCUAGCGUUGUUCGGAAUUACUGGGCGUAAAGCGCACGUAGGCGGCUUUGUAAGUUAGAGGUGAAAGCCCAGGGCUCAACCCUGGAAUUGCCUUUAAGACUGCAUCGCUAGAAUUGUGGAGAGGUAAGUGGAAUUCCGAGUGUAGAGGUGAAAUUCGUAGAUAUUCGGAAGAACACCAGUGGCGAAGGCGACUUACUGGCCCGAUACUGACGCUGAGGCACGAAAGCGUGGGGAGCAAACAGG
RNAcentral lists this ribosomal RNA (253 nucleotides) under uncultured bacterium. Its description in RNAcentral is "partial 16S ribosomal RNA". It matches the Rfam family "Bacterial small subunit ribosomal RNA", at positions 524 to 776 of the family's 1533-position model. The record is from RNAcentral.